RNAcentral lists this non-coding RNA (151 nucleotides) under Salmo salar (Atlantic salmon). RNAcentral's name for it is "Eukaryotic large subunit ribosomal RNA". It matches the Rfam family "Eukaryotic large subunit ribosomal RNA", at positions 2825 to 2984 of the family's 3401-position model. The record is from Rfam by way of RNAcentral. Lineage: Eukaryota; Metazoa; Chordata; Actinopteri; Salmoniformes; Salmonidae.
GAUAACUGGCUUGUGGUGGCCAAGCGUUCAUAGUGAUGUCGCUUUUUCAUCCAUCGAUGUCGGCUCUUCCUAUCAUUGUGAAGCAGAAUUCACGAAGCAUUGGAUUGUUCACCCACUCAUUGGGAACGUUUAGACCGUAGGGAGCUGGGUU